This 406-nucleotide ribosomal RNA is filed under the name uncultured bacterium. RNAcentral describes it as "partial 16S ribosomal RNA". It matches the Rfam family "Bacterial small subunit ribosomal RNA", at positions 29 to 526 of the family's 1533-position model. The record is from RNAcentral.
AUUGAACGCUGGCGGCAGGCCUAACACAUGCAAGUCGAACGAGCCGCGGACGUGUGGGUAAUGUACGGGCAACUGCCCGAUGGAGGGGGAUAACUACGCGAAACGGUUGCUACUAACGCAUACCAUCAGAUGUGCCCAUAUGGGAUUGGCUAGGAGGAGGGGUAACGGCUCACCUAGGCGACGAUCCGUAGCUGGUGUGAGAGGAGGACCAGCCACACUGGAACUGAGACACGGCCCAGACUCCUACGGGAGGCAGCAGUGGGGAAUAUUGGACAAUGGGGGAAAGCCUGAUGCAGCCAUGCCGCGUGUAUGAAGAAGGCCUUCGGGUUGUAAAGUACUUUCAGCGGGGAGGCGGUACCCGCAGAAGAAGCACCGGCUAACUCCGUGCCAGCAGCCGCGGUAAUAC